GAUAUUUAAUUUAAUGGCUGUGGUAUUUUAACUACACGAAGGUAGCAUAAUCAUUUGUUUAAUAAUUUUAGACUAGUAUGAAAGGUUAAAUGAGAAUUAAUCUUUCUUAUUUAUAUAAAUAAGAAGUUUUCUUUUAAGUUAAAAGACUUAAAUUUUUUUAUAGGACGAGAAGACCCUAUAGAACUUAAUUAAUAAGCUAAUAAUAUUAUUAGCUUAUUAAUUGUAUUGGGGUGAUAAAAAUUUUAUAUUAACAAUUUUUUUUUUUUCAAUUAUGUUUGAUUUUUUGAUCCAGUAGUUUUGAUUAUAAGACUAAGUUACCUUAGGGAUAACAGCGUA
RNAcentral lists this ribosomal RNA (336 nucleotides) under Corixidea sp. UCR ENT 00120013. Its description in RNAcentral is "partial large subunit ribosomal RNA". The record is from RNAcentral. Lineage: Eukaryota; Metazoa; Arthropoda; Insecta; Hemiptera; Schizopteridae.